AGUGAACGCUGGCGGUAGGCCUAACACAUGCAAGUCGAACGGCAGCACAGUAAGAGCUUGCUCUUACGGGUGGCGAGUGGCGGACGGGUGAGGAAUACAUCGGAAUCUACUUUUUCGUGGGGGAUAACGUAGGGAAACUUACGCUAAUACCGCAUACGACCUACGGGUGAAAGCAGGGGAUCUUCGGACCUUGCGCGAUUGAAUGAGCCGAUGUCGGAUUAGCUAGUUGGCGGGGUAAAGGCCCACCAAGGCGACGAUCCGUAGCUGGUCUGAGAGGAUGAUCAGGCACACUGGGAAUGAGGCACGGUCCAAAAUCCUACGGGGAGCCACCGUGGGGAAAUUUUGACAAUUGGGGGAAAGCUUAUCCAGGCAUACCGGGGUGGGUGAAGAGGCCCUUGGGUUGGUAAACCCUUUUUGUUGGAAAGAAAAGCAACAGGGUAAUUCCCCGGUUGUCUUGCGGUUACCAAAGAAUAAGCAACGGCUUACCUCGUU
This 492-nucleotide ribosomal RNA is filed under the name uncultured bacterium. RNAcentral describes it as "partial 16S ribosomal RNA". It matches the Rfam family "Bacterial small subunit ribosomal RNA", at positions 29 to 507 of the family's 1533-position model. The record is from RNAcentral.